This is an RNA transcript of Arachis stenosperma, 1928 nucleotides long. It is a transcript of the gene named LYR motif-containing protein At3g19508, with no coding region annotated. The record is from RefSeq and is a predicted model, not a curated record. Lineage: Eukaryota; Viridiplantae; Streptophyta; Magnoliopsida; Fabales; Fabaceae. The transcript has 4 exons.
CAGAAAUUAAAGAAGAGAGGAAGGAAGGAAAAGCAAAGCAUCUUUUGUGGAAAGAAAAAUGGAGAAGGCGUUGAGAGCUUACGCGGAGGUUCUUCGUCUGGUUCGGCGAUUACCAAAGGAGUCGAGAGGUUACUACGCCAAGUACGCACGCGAGAACUUCGUGAAUUACCGCGACGUCGAUCCCUCUGAUUCCACCACUCUCCAUGACCUCUUCCGUCGCACUUACAACCACUCCAUUUGGCUCCUUCACAAGUAUUCCGUUGAUGAUUCUGCCGCCGAUAAGCUCAAGCGGAUUUGUUGCGGGAGGUGGCAGCAUCUCCCUGACCUGGUUUGUGCCGAGAAUUUCGCAUGCCAUGGAAUUGGGGAAGCUGUGUCCUUCUUUUGGUGUUAUUUUGGAGAAAAUGUAUAUUUGGGUGUGAUCUUGAAGGCUUGUUCUGCUGCAGCUUGAGCCAUUCAUAAGCUGUUUGAAUUUUCGGAGCUGUCACUGGAUGAUUGGAUGUGGUGGAAAUUAAGGAAUUGGAAGGUGAGCUUGUUAUGCAAACAGCUCCUCGUACUAUAAAUACCAAAGAGCCUUCGAUAGGUUGUUAAUCUCCGCAGACCGAAACCUCGAACCAUUGACCGGGUUAGGGUUUUGGCUGGGCAUUUCGGUUGUCUGUUUCUUGAUUCUCUGAUCUGGUCAUCUAUUUCGCUCCUCCUGUGCUCUCUAUGCUGCACCUCGCCAGGGUGCUUGCCUCAGACAGACACCCUUGAGCCUCUACACCGUGUCACCGCCAUCUCUUUUCAGAGGGUUGUGCACUCCUGCUUCCUCCGGCUCGCCACACUUGCCUCCUGCAGACCCCAAUCUUUAUCAUCGUCUUUGGGCCUUAUUCUCGUUGCUGCUGCGGACGUCUCUACUCAGCUUCUCUCUCUUCAAGCUCGCUCUCUCUGAUCUUACUCUGUCUCACGUGAACGUCCCUACUCGCUUGUCCUCCUUGUCAUCACCUCCGUUUAACUGCUCGGCGAUCACCUCCGUUUAAUUGCUCGGCCAUCACCUCCUUGCGCACGUCUCUGUUGCUUGGCUGUCUUUUCUUCUCCAGUGAGCACUUUUUCAUUGCUUCUUCAGUCCUAAAUUUUAGAGUUCCGCUAUACAUUCAAGUCUUUGGCAACUAAGUCUAACCAAGUUGGCCCAAAUCUAACAAAAACCACUUUCACUAUAUGCAGUGUGUAUACACGCACACUUCACUAGCGCAAACAUAUCCUCCUCUUCUUCGCAUUCAUUCUUCUUUUUCGUCGCGUUCCUUCUUAGAGAAGGAAGAGAAACGCAGAGAUGGAAAAGAACGUAGAGAACACAGAGAUGGAGGAGAACGUAGAAAAUGCAGAAAACGUUGAGAAAAUUCAAAAAAGAAAUCUGAACUUGAAAAUACAACGAAAGCAUUUCUAAAAUACACCAAUUUAUAAUCCAAAUACACCAAAAUGGGGACGAACAGAUUCAUCAAAAUAAUACAAUUCGUCUUGGUUCAAUUGACAGUUUGAACUUGAAUUAUUCAUUGUCUUUGAAAAUGAAAUACCUGUUCAAAACUGAUUUCAUUGCUUAAUUUUAAAAAAUUUGAUCCAAAUCUGCAAAUCAUAUAAGAGAGUAUUGAUCUUGAACGAAAAAAAUACAGAGAACGAAGAGAACAGAGAAGGAAGAGAAAAACCAAACCAAGUCAUCCAAGCACUUUUUUGUAACGCGCCUCCUCCCUCCCUCCAAGUUAUGUGAAAUAGACGUGUGCCCCCCUCCUCCUCCUAUUAACGUAACAGAAUUACAUAAAGCUUUUUUUUCAACGUAAACAUUCUUCAAUGUUAACAAUCUGAUUGCAAUUUUUGGAUUUGCUCUGCUACUCGUCGUUUUUCUUCUUUUUCUUCUCUAUUGCUUGUUGUUCUUCUUCCUAUUCUUCUUCGUUUUUCUC